RNAcentral lists this ribosomal RNA (253 nucleotides) under uncultured bacterium. RNAcentral's name for it is "partial 16S ribosomal RNA". It matches the Rfam family "Bacterial small subunit ribosomal RNA", at positions 524 to 776 of the family's 1533-position model. The record is from RNAcentral.
UACGUAGGCAGCGAGCGUUGUUCGGAAUUACUGGGCGUAAAGAGUGUGUAGGCGGUGCUCCAAGUCUGGUGUGAAAUCUCCCGGCUCAACUGGGAGGGUGCGCCGGAAACUGGAAUGCUAGAGGGUGGGAGAGGUAAGCGGAAUUCCUGGUGUAGCGGUGAAAUGCGUAGAUAUCAGGAGGAACACCUGUGGUGUAGACAGCUUACUGGACCACUUCUGACGCUGAGACACGAAAGCGUGGGUAGCAAACAGG